This 17-nucleotide transfer RNA is filed under the name Oryctolagus cuniculus (rabbit). RNAcentral's name for it is "partial transfer RNA-Pro". The record is from RNAcentral. Lineage: Eukaryota; Metazoa; Chordata; Mammalia; Lagomorpha; Leporidae.
GCAGAGGGUAGUUUAAG